RNAcentral lists this ribosomal RNA (155 nucleotides) under uncultured Atheliaceae. RNAcentral describes it as "5.8S ribosomal RNA". It matches the Rfam family "5.8S ribosomal RNA". Rfam says of the family: 5.8S ribosomal RNA (5.8S rRNA) is a component of the large subunit of the eukaryotic ribosome. It is transcribed by RNA polymerase I as part of the 45S precursor that also contains 18S and 28S rRNA. Lineage: Eukaryota; Fungi; Basidiomycota; Agaricomycetes; Atheliales; Atheliaceae. The record is from RNAcentral.
AACUUUCAACAACGGAUCUCUUGGCUCUCGCAUCGAUGAAGAACGCAGCGAAAUGUGAUAAGUAAUGUGAAUUGCAGAUUUUCAGUGAAUCAUCGAAUCUUYGAACGCACCUUGCGCCCCUCGGUAUUCCGAGGAGCAUGCCUGUUUGAGUGUCA